This 253-nucleotide ribosomal RNA is filed under the name uncultured bacterium. RNAcentral describes it as "partial 16S ribosomal RNA". It matches the Rfam family "Bacterial small subunit ribosomal RNA", at positions 524 to 776 of the family's 1533-position model. The record is from RNAcentral.
UACGGAGGGGGCUAGCGUUGUUCGGAAUUACUGGGCGUAAAGCGUGCGCAGGCGGUUUUGUAAGCCAGAUGUGAAAUCCCCGGGCUCAACCUGGGAAUGGCAUUUGGGACUGCAAGGCUUGAGUGCGGCAGAGGAGACUGGAAUUCCUGGUGUAGCAGUGAAAUGCGUAGAUAUCAGGAGGAAUACCGAUGGCGAAGGCAGGUCUCUGGGCUGACACUGACGCUCAUGCACGAAAGCCAGGGGAGCAAACGGG